RNAcentral lists this ribosomal RNA (871 nucleotides) under bacterium A10(2006). Its description in RNAcentral is "bacterial SSU rRNA". It matches the Rfam family "Bacterial small subunit ribosomal RNA". The record is from RNAcentral.
UUUUAGACGCUGGCGGCGGCCUAACACAUGCAAGUNCGAGCGGAUGAANGGAGCUUGCUCCUGGNAUUCAGCGGCGGACGGGUGAGUAAUGCCUANGAAUCUGCCUGGUAGUGGGGGACAACGUUUCGAAAGGAACGCUAAUACCGCAUACGUCCUACGGGAGAAAGCAGGGGACCUUCGGGCCUUGCGCUAUCAGAUGAGCCUAGGUCGGAUUAGCUAGUUGGUGAGGUAAUGGCUCACCAAGGCGACGAUCCGUAACUGGUCUGAGAGGAUGAUCAGUCACACUGGAACUGAGACACGGUCCAGACUCCUACGGGAGGCAGCAGUGGGGAAUAUUGGACAAUGGGCGAAAGCCUGAUCCAGCCAUGCCGCGUGUGUGAAGAAGGUCUUCGGAUUGUAAAGCACUUUAAGUUGGGAGGAAGGGUUGUAGAUUAAUACUCUGCAAUUUUGACGUUACCGACAGAAUAAGCACCGGCUAACUCUGUGCCAGCAGCCGCGGUAAUACAGAGGGUGCAAGCGUUAAUCGGAAUUACUGGGCGUAAAGCGCGCGUAGGUGGUUUGUUAAGUUGGAUGUGAAAUCCCCGGGCUCAACCUGGGAACUGCAUCCAAAACUGGCAAGCUAGAGUAUGGUAGAGGGUGGUGGAAUUUCCUGUGUAGCGGUGAAAUGCGUAGAUAUAGGAAGGAACACCAGUGGCGAAGGCGACCACCUGGACUGAUACUGACACUGAGGUGCNAAAGCGUGGGGAGCAAACAGGAUUAGAUACCCUGGUAGUCACNCCNUAANCNAUGUCACUAGCCNUUGGGAGCCUUGACUUUANUGCCCACUACCAUUAAUUUACCCCUGGGNNUNCGCCNAGUUAAACUAAUNAUU